Long non-coding RNA from Rosa chinensis, 651 nucleotides. RefSeq lists it as uncharacterized. NCBI's taxonomy places the organism in Eukaryota, Viridiplantae, Streptophyta, Magnoliopsida, Rosales, Rosaceae. The record is from RefSeq and is a predicted model, not a curated record. The transcript is spliced from 2 exons.
CGCAUAUGCUACUGACCCAAUAACAACACCCUAAAACGAGAACCCUCAGGUACUCUCUCAUCGUGCAGUAGCUUUGGGAGAUUUCACAUUCAUAGAGAAGAAGACAGAGGCUUUCGUCGUUGCUUCACGCUCAGGUCCCCCACUGGUGUUCUAUGUUGGAUUCUAGCUAAACUAGCUACCUCAUCUUCUUGCCUCCAUUGUAAAGGUUUUAAUGGAUCAGAAAUACUUAAGGGUCUUAACCAAUACUUCAAAUAGGUCAUGGCUACGUUGGUUGAAGAAGUUGAAGAAUGUGCUUGUUGGCAGUUCAACAUGACUGAACAUAAAAUCUUUUGCAUAUAUAGAUAUCUUUUUAGCAGCCUUGCUCCAAGCUCGGUGGAUGUGGUAAGCACAAUUGUUCAUCAUCCCAAAUGUAUUCCCCAUAAAGAUGAAAAACUUCUGAAUUGUUUUAGAUCUAACUCCUCAAGCUGCCAAAUAACUGGUUCCUCACCAACCUCAAGUCAAAACGUUCGUCACGUGUCAACUCUCGUGAUCAUUGUACCACUUAAGAUCAAGCGUCAAGCUCUUGAGUGAAAUUCAUCGUUGGAGAUAGAAUCAAAGGAUUACCAAAGAUUGUAACCCGCACUUAAAUUAAUAAAAUUAUUAUUUUGUACA